GACAGAGGGUGCAAACGUUGUUCGGAAUUACUGGGCGUAAAGCGCGUGUAGGCGGCCAUGCAAGUCGGAUGUGAAAGCCCUCGGCUCAACCGGGGAAGUGCACUCGAAACUGCAAGGCUAGAGUCUCGGAGAGGAUCGUGGAAUUCUCGGUGUAGAGGUGAAAUUCGUAGAUAUCGGGAGGAACACCUGUGGCGAAGGCGGCUUUCUGGGCCUUACCUGACGCUGAGACGCGAAAGCGUGGGGAGCGAACCGG
This 253-nucleotide ribosomal RNA is filed under the name uncultured bacterium. RNAcentral's name for it is "partial 16S ribosomal RNA". It matches the Rfam family "Bacterial small subunit ribosomal RNA", at positions 524 to 776 of the family's 1533-position model. The record is from RNAcentral.